CUUGACAUACGUCACAUCCGGGCGGAAGUUUCAGUCGAACACAGCGAGGAAACUGCGGAGACUGGAGACGUUUCUGUGCCACAGACUAAACAUGCCGAGGACUGCUGAGAUGAGUCCAGGCCCGGCUGUACUCUCAGCUCCUGACUGACACCUGAUCCUCCUGUAGGAGUCUGACAAAACACUGAAGAUACAGGUGUGAACAGUUCUGUCUCUGUUUCAGUGAUGGACUGGAGACCUGAACAAGGUGACCCCACCAUGUCACCCACCAUGUCACCCCCCAACCCCGCGAAGGAUAAGUGGGUGUAACGGAUGGAUGGGAGGCGGCUUCCAGACCCCUGCGGAGGAGGAGGAGCUGGGAGUCAGCUGACAUCGACAUGGAGGGAUCACAGGAAAUAGAAGCACAGAAGAAGAAAUGUGUUGAAUGGUCCCGACCUAAACCAAAGCCCCAGGCCGCUGAAGUUCAUCCUGGUCUCACUCACAUGAGUCACUGCGCAUCAGUAAUUUAUCUAUAGAAGAAGAAACCUGCAGCUUGUGAAGUGGGUGCAUUAGUUUUUCUGACAAUAAAAAUAAUAAAACUUUUACUAACCCCUACUGGGGAAUAGUAGGAACAACAUCUGCAGAUUUCUCACAUCAUCCCUUUGCAAUCCUUGAGUUACUGAAACGUUUCUCACCAUACAGUAAUUAGUUGUUGUAGCCAUGUUUUUCUAGACAAAAAACCAAGGUGACCAGCUGUGGCCCUCUGCAUCAUGUCCCUUAUACUUUCAUUAUUAGUCUUUGUAAAUAUAUGAAACACUGUUGAAAUAAACUUGAUCUGAACACA
Seriola aureovittata is the source of this 820-nucleotide long non-coding RNA. RefSeq lists it as uncharacterized. The record is from RefSeq and is a predicted model, not a curated record. The transcript has 5 exons. NCBI's taxonomy places the organism in Eukaryota, Metazoa, Chordata, Actinopteri, Carangiformes, Carangidae.